CAGCCGCCGCGGUAAUACGUAGGUCCCGAGCGUUGUCCGGAUUUAUUGGGCGUAAAGUGAGCGCAGGCGGUUAGAUAAGUCUGAAGUUAAAGGCUGUGGCUUAACCAUAGUACGCUUUGGAAACUGUUUAACUUGAGUGCAAGAGGGGAGAGUGGAAUUCCAUGUGUAGCGGUGAAAUGCGUAGAUAUAUGGAGGAACACCGGUGGCGAAAGCGGCUCUCUGGCUUGUAACUGACGCUGAGGCUCGAAAGCGUGGGGAGCGAACAGGAUUAGAUACCCCUGUAGUCCCUGUCUCUUAUACC
Molecule: ribosomal RNA, 301 nt
Filed under: uncultured bacterium
Lineage: Bacteria
Description: partial 16S ribosomal RNA
Rfam family: Bacterial small subunit ribosomal RNA
Source: RNAcentral